AGGACUGAUCCUGAUGGUUGGAAUCACUGUUGGUAUCAUCAGAACCAGAGGAUGCAAAAAGCCUCACAAAGACAUUAAAGUUCGUUUUGCUGCUGAUGACGACACAGUGAGCUUUGAAAAUGAUGGAGAACGUUCUGCUGCCGCCGCACUGCACUGAGCUUCAUCACGUCAGUUACAGUUUAUAGAAAAACAGUGUUGUAUUUUAAUU
Molecule: non-coding RNA, 208 nt
Organism: Poecilia reticulata (guppy)
Lineage: Eukaryota; Metazoa; Chordata; Actinopteri; Cyprinodontiformes; Poeciliidae
Source: RefSeq, a predicted model, not a curated record